Molecule: ribosomal RNA, 447 nt
Filed under: uncultured bacterium
Lineage: Bacteria
Description: SSU rRNA
Rfam family: Bacterial small subunit ribosomal RNA
Source: RNAcentral
AGAGCGAACGCUGGCGGCAGGCUUAACACAUGCAAGUCGAGCGGGCGUAGCAAUACGUCAGCGGCAGACGGGUGAGUAACGCGUGGGAACAUACCUUUUGGUUCGGAACAACCCAGGGAAACUUGGGCUAAUACCGGAUAAGCCCUUACGGGGAAAGAUUUAUCGCCGAAAGAUUGGCCCGCGUCUGAUUAGCUAGUUGGUGAGGUAACGGCUCACCAAGGCGACGAUCAGUAGCUGGUCUGAGAGGAUGAUCAGCCACAUUGGGACUGAGACACGGCCCAAACUCCUACGGGAGGCAGCAGUGGGGAAUAUUGGACAAUGGGCGCAAGCCUGAUCCAGCCAUGCCGCGUGAGUGAUGAAGGCCCUAGGGUUGUAAAGCUCUUUUGUGCGGGAAGAUAAUGACGGUACCGCAAGAAUAAGCCCGGCUAACUUCGCGCCAGCAGCCGC